CCUACGGGAGGCAGCAGUGAGGAAUAUUGGUCAAUGGGCGCGAGCCUGAACCAGCCAAGUCGCGUGAGGGAGGACGGCCCUACGGGUUGUAAACCUCUUUUGCCGGGGAGCAACGAGCGCCACGUGUGCCGUCACUGGGAUUACCCGGAGAAAAAGCAUCGGCUAACUCCGUGCCAGCAGCCGCGGUAAUACGGAGGAUGCGAGCGUUAUCCGGAUUUAUUGGGUUUAAAGGGUGCGAAGGCGGCUCUUUAAUUCAGUGGUCAAAUUGAGGGGCUCAACCCCUGCCCGCCAUUGAAACUGGCGUUGUUGAGUGGAAGAGAAGUAUGCGGAAUGCGUGGUGUAGCGGGGAAAUGCAUAGAUAUCACGCAGAACCCCGAUUGCGAAGGCAGCAUGCCGGCUUCCGACUGACGCUGAAGCACGAAAGCGUGGGGAUCGAACAGGAUUAGAUACCCGUGUAGUC
Molecule: ribosomal RNA, 460 nt
Filed under: uncultured bacterium
Lineage: Bacteria
Description: partial 16S ribosomal RNA
Rfam family: Bacterial small subunit ribosomal RNA
Source: RNAcentral